AAGACAUGAUUGCUCUCAGUGUCCCUGUCCCUGGAGGUGUUCAAGGCUAGAUUGAAUGGGACCCUGGGCAGCCUGGUCUGGUAUUAAAUGGGGAGGUUGGUGGCCCUGCAUGUGGCAGGGGGGUUGGAGAUUCAUGACCCUUGAGGUCCGUUCCAACCCUGGCCAUUCUGUGAUUAAAAUUAAUCUCUCUGCAUGAAUAACUUUAGGCAGGGAUCCUAAGGAAUGAGCUCUCCCUUCUUCAUUUUCUUUAGGUGUGAGUUGCCUUUUAAUGAAGAACUGGGAAACUUGGCUCCUUCUCCAGACUCCUGAUACUCCAGAAUGUGACAAAGACAGCAUGAGCCUUGCCUGCUCUUUGGCUGAUGAAAGUCUGCAUCCUAUUGCUACCUCUCAUGUGUGCCAGCUCCAGAAGAGGAUGAGAUAUGAAAAUCUCAUCUGAGUUUGCUGCUGUAAUCGUUAUUUUGGAGGCUCCAAUCACUGUUACCCUGCUGCUCAGGCUCUUGAACUUCAGCCUACAGCCUGCUGUCACUGUGCUGACAGGUGUUUUGAGCCCGAAUAAGUGGUACUGCAAUGAAUUUCAGAUGUAAGCAUUGCCAGAUGCUUCCCUGACAUGUUUCUUCCUGCUGUGCAGAGCUCAGACAUGAGUGCUUUUCAUCUGAGGAACGAGAAACAACAGUAUCUUCAGGUGGUAUCUUUGAAUUUCUACAAUGGACCUGUGAGCAGCAUGCAGGUUACAGCAUCGCUUCCUGUCCAGGCUGGCCUAGCACAGCCUGUGUCCCAGUGUGCAGCUCUCGGGGCUCUCUGCCUCCAUGCUGUCCAGCAGGUGCUGGCUCAGCUACACAGUGGAAACACACUUUCAAGCACAUCCUCUUCUCCUCACUCUCUGCAGCAUUUGUGACAGAGCUUUGCCAAUCCAGAAAGGUAGGGUUGUGCAAGGUGUCCAGUAACAAAGCUCGUUGUUACCCAGAGUUCAGUUUUAUGAAGAGCCUUUGAAAUUCCCAGACUAAAGCCAGAUGUGCUUUUCUAAAGGUGUUUUUGCUGAAAGGUGGAUUCUGUGUUAGUUAUCGUCCAAGAGAGAAAUGAUGCCAUCAGUGUACAGCAAAUCAUUUGUCUCCAGAAGGGUUAAGGCAAAUAAAACUGUGAGUCAUUAGAAUGUAAUUCCCUUA
RNAcentral lists this long non-coding RNA (1163 nucleotides) under Phasianus colchicus (ring-necked pheasant). Its description in RNAcentral is "lncRNA (ENSPCLG00000002401.1)". Lineage: Eukaryota; Metazoa; Chordata; Aves; Galliformes; Phasianidae. The record is from RNAcentral.